AGCAUGGCACAGUGGUUUGAGUGCUGGACUACAACUCUGGAGACCAGGAUUCAAUUCCCUGAUAGGCCA
This is a non-coding RNA of Phrynosoma platyrhinos (Desert horned lizard), 69 nucleotides long. The record is from the annotation of a GenBank genome assembly. NCBI's taxonomy places the organism in Eukaryota, Metazoa, Chordata, Lepidosauria, Squamata, Phrynosomatidae.